RNAcentral lists this ribosomal RNA (253 nucleotides) under uncultured bacterium. Its description in RNAcentral is "partial 16S ribosomal RNA". It matches the Rfam family "Bacterial small subunit ribosomal RNA", at positions 524 to 776 of the family's 1533-position model. The record is from RNAcentral.
UACGUAGGGGGCAAGCGUUGUCCGGAUUUAUUGGGCGUAAAGAGCGUGUAGGCGGCCAUACAGGUCCGUUGUGAAAACUGGAGGCUUAACCUCCAGACGUCGAUGGAAACCGUAUGGCUAGAGUCCGGAAGAGGAGAGUGGAAUUCCUGGUGUAGCGGUGAAAUGCGCAGAUAUCAGGAAGAACACCGGUGGCGAAGGCGGAUCUCUGGGCCUUACCUGACGCUGAGGCGCGAAAGCUAGGGGAGCAAACAGG